GAGCUUGGUCCCAUGCAGCAGAAACUCAUGAAAUCCGUCAGGUCCGGAAGGAAGCAGCGGUAAAUGAUACUUUCUGUGUGCCGUGGAAUAACCUAGUUUGAGU
Molecule: signal recognition particle RNA, 103 nt
Filed under: Clostridiales bacterium oral taxon 876 str. F0540
Lineage: Bacteria; Bacillati; Bacillota; Clostridia; Eubacteriales
Description: Bacterial signal recognition particle RNA
Rfam family: Bacterial small signal recognition particle RNA
About the family: The signal recognition particle (SRP) is a universally conserved ribonucleoprotein involved in the co-translational targeting of proteins to membranes. Archaeal SRP consists of a 7S RNA and homologues of the eukaryotic SRP19 and SRP54 proteins.
Source: RNAcentral